GACGAACGCUGGCGGCGUGCUUAACACAUGCAAGUCGAGCGGAAAGGCCACUUCGGUGGUACUCGAGCGGCGAACGGGUGAGUAACACGUGAGUAAUCUGCCCCUCACUUUGGGAUAGCCACCGGAAACGGUGAUUAAUACCGGAUAUGACCAUAUGUCGCAUGGCGUGUGGUGGAAAGUUUUUCGGUGAGGGAUGUGCUCGCGGCCUAUCAGCUUGAUGGUGAGGUAAUGGCUCACCAUGGCUUCGACGGGUAGCCGGCCUGAGAGGGUGACCGGUCACACUGGGACUGAGACACGGCCCAGACUCCUACGGGAGGCAGAAGUGGGGAAUAUUGGACAAUGGGCGGAAGCCUGAUCCAGCAACGCCGCGUGAGGGAUGACGGCCUUCGGGUUGUAAACCUCUUUCAGUACCGACGAAGCGCAAGUGACGGUAGGUACAGAAGAAGCACCGGCCAACUACGUG
RNAcentral lists this ribosomal RNA (463 nucleotides) under uncultured bacterium. RNAcentral's name for it is "partial 16S ribosomal RNA". It matches the Rfam family "Bacterial small subunit ribosomal RNA", at positions 28 to 507 of the family's 1533-position model. The record is from RNAcentral.